This 194-nucleotide antisense RNA is filed under the name Prodigiosinella confusarubida. Its description in RNAcentral is "Serratia sp. ATCC 39006 Yersinia sRNA 251". It matches the Rfam family "Yersinia sRNA 251". From Rfam's summary of the family: Antisense to phoH gene. The record is from Rfam by way of RNAcentral. Lineage: Bacteria; Pseudomonadati; Pseudomonadota; Gammaproteobacteria; Enterobacterales; Pectobacteriaceae.
UGUAAGCAACCAAGGCAUGUUGACAUAAUUCAGAACGUACACAGUCGUCCUUAUCAAACGUCACAAUACCCACCAUUUCAUCUUCUAUAAACCGCUCCAGAGCAUCACAGAGCCCCGACUUCACACUUGACGGCAAAUCACAUUGCGUAAUAUCACCGUUUACUAUCACUGUUACAUUUUCACCCAAACGCGUU